This 329-nucleotide unclassified non-coding RNA is filed under the name soil metagenome. Its description in RNAcentral is "partial contains 5.8S ribosomal RNA, internal transcribed spacer 2, and large subunit ribosomal RNA". The stretch from base 1 to 120 matches the Rfam family "5.8S ribosomal RNA", at positions 35 to 154 of the family's 154-position model. The record is from RNAcentral.
GAUGAAGAACGUAGCGAAAUGCGAUAAGUAAUGUGAAUUGCAGAAUUCAGUGAAUCAUCGAAUCUUUGAACGCACAUUGCGCCCCUUGGUAUUACGAGGGGCAUGCCUGUUCGAGCGUCAUUAUAACCCCUCAAGCUCAGCUUGGUGUUGGGGCCUGCUGCACUGGCAGCCCUUAAAAUCAGUGGCGGCGCCAUCUGGCUCUAAGCGUAGUAAUUCUUCUCGCUAUGGAGUCCUGGUGGAUGCUUGCCAUCAACCCCCAAUUUUUCUAUGGUUGACCUCGGAUCAGGUAGGGAUACCCGCUGAACUUAAGCAUAUCAAUAAGCGGAGGA